This 492-nucleotide ribosomal RNA is filed under the name uncultured bacterium. RNAcentral describes it as "partial 16S ribosomal RNA". It matches the Rfam family "Bacterial small subunit ribosomal RNA", at positions 29 to 507 of the family's 1533-position model. The record is from RNAcentral.
AGUGAACGCUGGCGGUAGGCCUAACACAUGCAAGUCGAACGGCAGCACAGUAAGAGCUUGCUCUUACGGGUGGCGAGUGGCGGACGGGUGAGGAAUACAUCGGAAUCUACUUUUUCGUGGGGGAUAACGUAGGGAAACUUACGCUAAUACCGCAUACGACCUACGAGUGAAAGCAGGGGAUCUUCGGACCUUGCGCGAUUGAAUGAGCCGAUGUCGGAUUAGCUAGUUGGCGGGGUAAAGGCCCACCAAGGCGACGAUCCGUAGCUGGUCUGAGAGGAUGAUCAGCCACACUGGAACUGAGACACGGUCCAGACUCCUACGGGAGGCAGCAGUGGGGAAUAUUGGACAAUGGGCGCAAGCCUGAUCCAGCCAUACCGCGUGGGUGAAGAAGACCUUCGGGUUGUAAAGCCCUUUUGUUGGGAAAGAAAAGCAGCAGGUUAAUACCCCGCUGUUCUGACGGUACCCAAAGAAUAAGCACCGGCUAACUUCGUG